ACGGUCUCAGUUCAGAUUGCAGGCUGCAACUCGCCUGCAUGAAGUUGGAAUUGCUAGUAAUCGCGAAUCAGAAUGUCGCGGUGAAUACGUUCCCGGGCCUUGUACACACCGCCCGUCACACCAUGAGAGUCGAUAACACCCGAAGCCUGUGAGCUAACCGUAAGGAGGCAGCAGUCGAAGGUGGGGUUGAUGAUUGGGGUGAAGUCGUAACAAGGUAUC
This 219-nucleotide ribosomal RNA is filed under the name uncultured bacterium. RNAcentral's name for it is "partial 16S ribosomal RNA". It matches the Rfam family "Bacterial small subunit ribosomal RNA", at positions 1282 to 1500 of the family's 1533-position model. The record is from RNAcentral.